This 253-nucleotide ribosomal RNA is filed under the name uncultured bacterium. Its description in RNAcentral is "partial 16S ribosomal RNA". It matches the Rfam family "Bacterial small subunit ribosomal RNA", at positions 524 to 776 of the family's 1533-position model. The record is from RNAcentral.
UACGGAGGAUCCGAGCGUUAUCCGGAUUUAUUGGGUUUAAAGGGUGCGUAGGCGGUUUGAUAAGUUAGAGGCGAAAUGUCGGGGCUCAACCCCAAAACUGCCUCUAAUACUGUUGGACUAGAGAAUAGUUGCGGUAGGCGGAAUGUAUGGUGUAGCGGUGAAAUGCUUAGAGAUCAUACAGAACACCGAUUGCGAAGGCAGCUUACCAAACUAUAUCUGACGUUGAGGCACGAAAGCGUGGGUAGCAAACAGG